GAAAUGCGAGAAGUAGUGUGAAUUGCAGAAUUCAGUGAAUCAUCGAAUCUUUGAACGCACAUUGCGCCCCUUGGUAUUCCAUGGGGCAUGCCUGUUCGAGCGUCAUUUGUACCCUCAAGCUCUGCUUGGUGUUGGGUGUUUGUCCCGUCUCCGCGCGUGGACUCGCCCCAAAGUGAUUGGCAGCCGGCGUACUGGUCCCGGAGCGCAGCACAUGUCGCGCAAACGAGUACCUUGGUACGGCGGCGUCCAUAAGCCCCUCUCUCACGCUCUUGACCUCGGAUCAGGUAGGGAUACCCGCUGAACUUAAGC
RNAcentral lists this unclassified non-coding RNA (309 nucleotides) under plant metagenome. RNAcentral's name for it is "partial contains 5.8S ribosomal RNA, internal transcribed spacer 2, and large subunit ribosomal RNA". The stretch from base 1 to 105 matches the Rfam family "5.8S ribosomal RNA", at positions 50 to 154 of the family's 154-position model. The record is from RNAcentral.